This 1622-nucleotide ribosomal RNA is filed under the name Salmonella enterica subsp. enterica serovar Anatum. RNAcentral's name for it is "partial 23S ribosomal RNA". It matches the Rfam family "Bacterial large subunit ribosomal RNA", at positions 1 to 1556 of the family's 2925-position model. Lineage: Bacteria; Pseudomonadati; Pseudomonadota; Gammaproteobacteria; Enterobacterales; Enterobacteriaceae. The record is from RNAcentral.
GGGUUGUGAGGUUAAGCGACUAAGCGUACACGGUGGAUGCCCUGGCAGUCAGAGGCGAUGAAGGGCGUGCUAAUCUGCGAUAAGCGCCGGUAAGGUGAUAUGAACCGUUAUAACCGGCGAUACCCGAAUGGGGAAACCCAGUGUGACUCGUCACACUAUCAUUAACUGAAUCCAUAGGUUAAUGAGGCGAACCGGGGGAACUGAAACAUCUAAGUACCCCGAGGAAAAGAAAUCAACCGAGAUUCCCCCAGUAGCGGCGAGCGAACGGGGAGGAGCCCAGAGCCUGAAUCAGCAUGUGUGUUAGUGGAAGCGUCUGGAAAGGCGCGCGAUACAGGGUGACAGCCCCGUACACAAAAGCGCAUGUGCUGUGAGCUCGAUGAGUAGGGCGGGACACGUGGUAUCCUGUCUGAAUGUGGGGGGACCAUCCUCCAAGGCUAAAUACUCCUGACUGACCGAUAGUGAACCAGUACCGUGAGGGAAAGGCGAAAAGAACCCCGGCGAGGGGAGUGAAAAAGAACCUGAAACCGUGUACGUACAAGCAGUGGGAGCCCCACCACCAAAGCAUUCUCUGGUGUUGAAGGCCCUGCAAAGCAGCAUCGCGGUGGCGGAGCGUCGUUUGCGACGCCCAACACACAAAACAAGCGGUGAGUGCUUUGGGGUGGGGUGACUGCGUACCUUUUGUAUAAUGGGUCAGCGACUUAUAUUCUGUAGCAAGGUUAACCGUAUAGGGGAGCCGUAGGGAAACCGAGUCUUAACCGGGCGUUAAGUUGCAGGGUAUAGACCCGAAACCCGGUGAUCUAGCCAUGGGCAGGUUGAAGGUUGGGUAACACUAACUGGAGGACCGAACCGACUAAUGUUGAAAAAUUAGCGGAUGACUUGUGGCUGGGGGUGAAAGGCCAAUCAAACCGGGAGAUAGCUGGUUCUCCCCGAAAGCUAUUUAGGUAGCGCCUCGUGAAUUCAUCUUCGGGGGUAGAGCACUGUUUCGGCUAGGGGGUCAUCCCGACUUACCAACCCGAUGCAAACUGCGAAUACCGGAGAAUGUUAUCACGGGAGACACACGGCGGGUGCUAACGUCCGUCGUGAAGAGGGAAACAACCCAGACCGCCAGCUAAGGUCCCAAAGUCAUGGUUAAGUGGGAAACGAUGUGGGAAGGCCCAGACAGCCAGGAUGUUGGCUUAGAAGCAGCCAUCAUUUAAAGAAAGCGUAAUAGCUCACUGGUCGAGUCGGCCUGCGCGGAAGAUGUAACGGGGCUAAACCAUGCACCGAAGCUGCGGCAGCGACACUGUGUGUUGUUGGGUAGGGGAGCGUUCUGUAAGCCUGCGAAGGUGGCCUGUGAGGGUUGCUGGAGGUAUCAGAAGUGCGAAUGCUGACAUAAGUAACGAUAAAGCGGGUGAAAAGCCCGCUCGCCGGAAGACCAAGGGUUCCUGUCCAACGUUAAUCGGGGCAGGGUGAGUCGACCCCUAAGGCGAGGCCGAAAGGCGUAGUCGAUGGGAAACAGGUUAAUAUUCCUGUACUUGGUGUUACUGCGAAGGGGGGACGGAGAAGGCUAUGUUGGCCGGGCGACGGUUGUCCCGGUUUAAGCGUGUAGGUGUGUGUUCCAGGUAAAUCCGGUUCACUUUAAC